Molecule: long non-coding RNA, 395 nt
Filed under: Zea mays
Lineage: Eukaryota; Viridiplantae; Streptophyta; Magnoliopsida; Poales; Poaceae
Description: long non-coding RNA (ZMAY_LNC003453)
Source: RNAcentral
UUGAUCUCCUUUAGCUGGGUCUCCAGUUGACUGUGCAUGUCAUUAUUAGUGGAGAGCUGAAGGUUCAGAUCAGCAAUGUUGUUUUGAUGGUGUUUGUUUUCUUCUCUUAAUUUCACCAGCUCUUGUUGCAGACUCUCUUCAAGAGAUUGCUUUUCCUUCAAGUUCUCUUCAAGAGAUUGCUUUUCCUUCAAGCUCUCUUCAAGUUUAGCUUCGUAUUCUGCAGUCUGUUCUUCAAUUUUCUUCUUUUCUUCAGUUAUUUGGCUCAAUGACUCCAUAGUUCUUUUCUUCAAGUUUAGCUGGGGUCUGCGGAUCAUAGCUGAAUUCAGAUUCGGCUCGGAUCGAUUGUUCGCUCUUGAUUAUUCAUGAAAUGAUCAAGAGAGCUCCUUCUCUUUCUC